UUUAUUUGCCUUAACCAAUGGAAGGCAUGUCUCUCUGGCUAUGUCUUCUCCUGUGGGCAGCAAUGUUAACAGAUGUCCAGUCUCAAAUCCAGUUUAUCCAAUCUGGCCCUGAAGUCAAAAGGCCUGGAGAGUCUGUGAGACUCACCUGUAAGGCAUCUGGGUAUACAUUUACCAGCCAUUCAAUCGUCUGGGUCAAACAGCCCCCAGGAAAAGGACUGGAGUGGGCCGGCACUAUAUGGACAAAUAACUUCAAUACUUUCUAUCCUGAGUCUCUCAAAGGCCGAGUCACCAUCAGUGUGGACACUUCCAUCAGUACUUCAUAUCUGCAGUUGACCAGCUUGAAAGCUGAAGACACAGCAGUAUAUUAUUGUGCAAGACACACACUGAGGAAAACUGCCUACACUGACAAUCAAAAACCCUCCAGGGGGAAACUUCAGAGGAAGUUUUGGCAGGGAAAGCAAAAGAUAAACUACUGA
This is a non-coding RNA of Rhineura floridana, 476 nucleotides long. Lineage: Eukaryota; Metazoa; Chordata; Lepidosauria; Squamata; Rhineuridae. The record is from the annotation of a RefSeq genome assembly.